Molecule: ribosomal RNA, 331 nt
Filed under: uncultured bacterium
Lineage: Bacteria
Description: partial 16S ribosomal RNA
Rfam family: Bacterial small subunit ribosomal RNA
Source: RNAcentral
CCUACGGGAGGCAGCAGUAGGGAAUAUUGCUCAAUGGGGGAAACCCUGAAGCAGCAACGCCGCGUGGAGGAUGAAGGUUUUAGGAUCGUAAACUCCUUUUGUUAGAGAAGAUUAUGACGGUAUCUAACGAACAAGUAUUGGCUAAUUCUGUGUCAGCAGCUGCGGUAAUACGGAGGGUGCAAGCGCUACUUGGAAUCACUGGGCGGAAAGGGUGCGGAGGCGGGGUAAUAAGGCAGAAGUGAAAUCCUGUAGGUUAACUACGAGAAUUCAAUUAGAACUGUUACUCUGGAGUGUGGGAGAGGUAGAUGGGAAUCUUAGUGUAAGGGUAGGA